AAACUGCUGCCCAGACUAAUCAAUUUAAGAAAUAAACUCCGUGAAUACAGUACGUAUAAUGCUGAUGAAACAACGAAAAACUUCAAAAAAUUGAUGAAACGAAGAGAAGACUAACCGAUUGUCAAGAAAUUGUGAAGAAACCCUAGAUUCUGAAAAUAGUUGCAAACCCGAAUGAAAACCGACAAGGGUAGUACCGCACGAAAGCUCUUGACGAGGAGAGUCGGAUAACCCGCUCUGAUACCAUGUUAACAUCCAUGGUAGCCAUGGAUUUGAAGGAGAAAUGAAGAAGAUGAAUAGUGACAGAAGAGAGAGAAGAGAGGAUUCUGAAAUAAUAUUUUUUCUCGAAUGUUCUGUACAACCGACCCUCUUCCAUAUAUCAAAAUACAAAACUAAUGAAAAUAUCUGUGUGUGUGUGUAUACAAUGUGUGCCACAUAAAAUAAAUACAAUGGCUGUUUUUACAAUGGCUAUUGCUCAAAUGCUUAAAUGUGGCU
RNAcentral lists this long non-coding RNA (492 nucleotides) under Nicotiana benthamiana. RNAcentral describes it as "long non-coding RNA (NBEN_LNC022680)". The record is from RNAcentral. Lineage: Eukaryota; Viridiplantae; Streptophyta; Magnoliopsida; Solanales; Solanaceae.